Long non-coding RNA from Crotalus tigris (Tiger rattlesnake), 2952 nucleotides. RefSeq lists it as uncharacterized. The transcript has 3 exons. Lineage: Eukaryota; Metazoa; Chordata; Lepidosauria; Squamata; Viperidae. The record is from RefSeq and is a predicted model, not a curated record.
CAAAUAAAUAAAAACUUUCUGAUACUAUUCUAAAUGAAAUUCUUUACUUAUUUUUCAACUAAUGAAACAUUAACACUUUAACAUGGAUUACCUUUCCUUAAUAAGAAAAAUAUAAUCAAACACACAAGAAAUAUAUGAUGCAAAUAACAUUAAAUAAAUGUCAUUAGUUUUUAAGCAACAAUAUAUGCAUCAAUGUAGUAUGUAUUUAAAUUCUUGAAUCGAUUAUAUGCUCGUGUCAAUUAAAUACUUGCUCAUAAUAAUUCCUAAAAUGUUUCUGAUAUUUUUUUGAAAACAUUUCUGAAGAUCCUAUAUAUACACAAAGACAGUUAACAAUGAAAUGCAUCUUUCUAAUAGAUUCUGACAACUUCUAGGAAGAUAGAUUUUACAAACAACCAAAUAAUUAUUUUAAAACACAAAGGGUUUGGGACAAGGUGCAGCUAUUAAACAUUUUUCAUUAACCUACAGUUGCUUGAUCCUCAUUUUUAACACAUGGAUCUUUAAUGUUUUUGUGGUUCUUACAUGACUAAUAGAUGUAAUAUUACACCUGGGUUUUAAAACAUAUCAUUUUUUGCAUGACUGAAGAACUUGGAACACUUUUACUAUCAACUAGGUAUAUAAGCAUUCCUUUUUCUUACAUGAGUUUUUUGCCGUCAUGGUUUCUGUAACAGACAGCUGUUACAUUCUGAACUGCUAGCAGGUUAUUGAUAUCCAUAAGCAAGAGCUGAAUAAUCAGUUUUAUACACUUGCCAAAUCACUGAGAAACUGCCUCACUUUCCUUCUGCAAUAAGAAGCUCUCUGAAACUUAAAAAUGUUAACUACAUUUCCUUUAUUUGAAUCAGUUCUCCAAAUUAUCACUUAUCUCAUCUUUCAUUUAAUGAAGAAUAACUUUGCAACAAAUAUCAUCUGGGUGCUACAUGAAACUAGUCGUUAUGAAUUUUGUAUUAUGAAUUAUAUAAUGCUAUUAUAUAUUUAUUAUUAUAAAUUUUAUAACCAUAUUACACACUGUAUAAUUAUGAAUUAUAUAAUUUUAUUAUGCAUUUAGUAUAUAUAUUUAUUAUGGCUAUCAUGAAUUGUGGGAUGGCGCAGUGGCUCAGCGGAUAAGUACCAUGCAACAGGGUGGGGUCCCAUCUUCACCCCGUUUCCUGCCCACCUAGCAGUUCAAAAAAAUGCAAAUACAAGUAGAUAAGUAGGUACCACUACAGUGGGAAGGUUAACAGCUCUCCAUGACAUCAUGCUGGACAUACGAGGGCAGAAAUGUCUUCAGACAGUGUUGGCUCAAUAUCCUUGAAAUGAAGAUAAGUGCUGCCCCCUAUAGUCAGCAAUGACUAGCAGAAUAAAAUCCACAGGGACUCCUUUACCUUUUUUACCUAUCAUGAAUUGUAUUAUGAAUUGUAUAGAUCGUCGGCUACAAAAUCCAUUUGGAAGCUGAAAAAUAGUUAUACCUUGCUUUAUUGUUAUGUUCACAUAUUUCCUGAAGAAUCUGAAUCUCCAAGCCUUAGUGUUUUAUACCACACAUACUAAAUUUUAUUGAUUCAUACUUUAUAAAUUUCAAUAUUGUCAUAAGUACCGGUAUGUCACUGAGUUCUAGUUUCUUUUCAUAACACAACAGCUAAAAUAUUGGAAAGAAGUGAUUAACAUGAUACAGGAAAUUAGAGAUAUUUAUACUUCAAAUCAACUUAUGUCAGUCAAGCUUUUAAACCUUCUGAAUUAUUACAAGAGAAAUGUAAAUUGUCUAAAAUUGUAAAAUGGCAAUAUAUUCAAUUAAAGCAUAUUCUGAUUUCAUUAGUCCAGCAACAUUAACAACACUUGCAAGUUGCAAAUUACUAUCAGACUGGAAUAUGUUUGAAUUCAUAUAAACAAUUAUAAGAAUAUUAUUUAACUUUUAGAACAAUUACUUGCCAGAACUCUGGAAUAAACAGUUGUAAUAUUCCAUAGCAACAAAUCAAAAGCUAAGAGUAUCUUACAAUUUUAAGGUAAACAAUUCAACUAUGUUUACUGGAAACUUUAGGGAAGUUUUAAAAAAGGAGUGCUGGGAGUUUAAAAUGGUUAAGGAUGAACCCUGCUAUUGAUGAGGGUGCUCUGUAUGUGAUUAUUGUUUAUCCUUGGGUGGCGUUCUUGGCCAUUGCACUGAUAAUGUAACCCAGUCAGGUAAUAAAACAUCUGUAAAUGAAUAACCCAGCUCAAUGAGUACCAAGGACUCCACAAGUCAUUCCUGAACUACCAAUAACCUUGGGUGUUUGGGGUUUUAUGUUGUGGGUUUUUAUGUGUUUUUAAUCCUUGUAAGAUGCCAAAGUCAUUUAGAACGUCUUGCCCCCAGAGAUCCAAAACACCACUCCUUAAUGUUUUGGAAGCUGUCAAGACCAGAAUCUUCUGUAAAGGCUUGCAAAGGUCAUACACAUGGAGGACUAAUAACAAUAUCACUAUUUCAUCAUUAUCAUAACUGCAAAUGUUUGUUAAAUAAGUCAGCAGCUAAAUGAAGACUAUCUGCAAUGGAAUAAACACAAAUGGACACACAAGUAUACAUAGAUACAAAGAAUAUGUAUUUUAUGUUAUAUUCAUGAAAAAGAUGCUACUAUGUGUUAAAAGUGACAAUGAUUUGUCAGCUUACUACUAUUCCAUAGCUGAUGGUACAUUUUACUAUUACAGCAUUUCAAAGAACAUCAUCUGAGUGGGAAGGGAUCUUGAAGGUCUUAUCUAACCUCUUAUUCAAGCAGGAGACCCUAUUCCAUUUCAGACAAAUGGCUAUCCAGUCUCUUCUUAAAAGCCUCCAAUGAUGGAAUACUCACAACUUCAAAAGGCAAACCGUUCCAUUGGUUGAUUGCUUUAACUUUUUUUCCUCCUUAGUUCUAGGUUGCUUCUCUCCUUGGUUAGUUUCCAUCCAUUGCUUCUUGUCUUGUCUUCUGGUGCUUUGGAAAAUAAGUUUUCCCUCUCUUCUUUCUGCCAGCCCCUCAA